UACGAAGGGGGCUAGCGUUGCUCGGAAUCACUGGGCGUAAAGCGCACGUAGGCGGAUUGUUAAGUCGGGGGUGAAAUCCUGGAGCCCAACUCCAGAACUGCCUUCGAUACUGGCGAUCUUUGAGUCCGGGAGAGGUGGGUGGAACUGCGAGUGUAGAGGUGAAAUUCGUAGAUAUUCGCAAGAACACCAGUGGCGAAGGCGGCUCACUGGCCCGGUACUGACGCUGAGGUGCGAAAGCGUGGGGAGCAAACAGG
This 254-nucleotide ribosomal RNA is filed under the name uncultured bacterium. Its description in RNAcentral is "partial 16S ribosomal RNA". It matches the Rfam family "Bacterial small subunit ribosomal RNA", at positions 524 to 776 of the family's 1533-position model. The record is from RNAcentral.